This 526-nucleotide unclassified non-coding RNA is filed under the name uncultured Glomeromycotina. RNAcentral describes it as "SSU rRNA". It matches the Rfam family "Eukaryotic small subunit ribosomal RNA", at positions 571 to 1092 of the family's 1831-position model. The record is from RNAcentral. Lineage: Eukaryota; Fungi; Glomeromycota.
CAGCCGCGGUAUUCCAGCUCCAAUAGCGUAUAUUAAAGUUGUUGCAGUUAAAAAGCUCGUAGUUGAAUUUCGGGAUUGACGUGAUGGUCAUGCCUUAAGGGGUAUGAACUGUUACUGUUGAUUUCUCACCUUCUGGAGAAACUUGAUGUCCUUUAUUGGGUGUCUUGCGGAUCCAGGACCUUUACCUUGAAAAAAUUAGAGUGUUUAAAGCAGGCAUUUUUGCUCGAAUACAUUAGCAUGGAAUAAUAGAAUAGGACGGCAUGGUUCUAUUUUGUUGGUUUCUAGGAUCACCGUAAUGAUUAAUAGGGAUAGUUGGGGGCAUUAGUAUUCAAUUGUCAGAGGUGAAAUUCUUGGAUUUAUUGAAGACUAACUACUGCGAAAGCAUUUGCCAAGGAUGUUUUCAUUAAUCAAGAACGAAAGUUAGGGGAUCGAAGACGAUCAGAUACCGUCGUAGUCUUAACCAUAAACUAUGCCGACUAGGAAUCAGACGAUGUUAAUUUUUUAAUGACUCGUUUGGCACCUUACG